GCGGUUAUAGCUCAGUUGGUUAGAGCAUCGGUUUGUGGUACCGAGGGUCGUGGGUUCGAGCCCCAUUAGUCGCC
This 74-nucleotide transfer RNA is filed under the name Pseudarcicella sp. RNAcentral's name for it is "tRNA-His". It matches the Rfam family "tRNA". From Rfam's summary of the family: Transfer RNA (tRNA) molecules are approximately 80 nucleotides in length. Their secondary structure includes four short double-helical elements and three loops (D, anti-codon, and T loops). The record is from RNAcentral. Lineage: Bacteria; Pseudomonadati; Bacteroidota; Cytophagia; Cytophagales; Flectobacillaceae.